UUUGCUUAGCUUAAACUAUUAACGAUGCUUUGAGUUGUAAUUUUAGAUAUUUUUUAUGUUGAAUUUUGAAGUUAUAGAUGCUUGUUGAAUUUGUUUAUGUAUGGUUGUGAUAAAUGUCUUAUUUUGCUGUGAAUUUUGGUCUUUUAUUCAGAGGUAUCGAUAAUUAGGUAUUUAGUAUCGAUACCUCCAUGAUAUUUUGAAUGUGGA
This 207-nucleotide long non-coding RNA is filed under the name Gossypium barbadense (sea-island cotton). Its description in RNAcentral is "long non-coding RNA (GBAR_LNC021201)". Lineage: Eukaryota; Viridiplantae; Streptophyta; Magnoliopsida; Malvales; Malvaceae. The record is from RNAcentral.